CCUACGGGGGGCAGCAGUGAGGAAUAUUGGUCAAUGGACGAGAGUCUGAACCAGCCAAGUAGCGUGAAGGAUGACUGCCCUAUGGGUUGUAAACUUCUUUUAUAUGGGAAUAAAAUGUUCCACGUGUGGGAUUUUGUAUGUACCAUAUGAAUAAGGAUCGGCUAACUCCGUGCCAGCAGCCGCGGUAAUACGGAGGAUCCGAGCGUUAUCCGGAUUUAUUGGGUUUAAAGGGAGCGUAGGUGGAUUGUUAAGUCAGUUGUGAAAGUUUGCGGCUCAACCGUAAAAUUGCAGUUGAAACGGGCAGUCUUGAGUACAGUAGAGGUGGGCGGAAUUCGUGGUGUAGCGGUGAAAUGCUUAGAUAUCACGAAGAACUCCGAUUGCGAAGGCAGUUCACUGGACUGCAACUGACACUGAGGCUCGAAAGUGUGGGUAUCAAACAGGAUUAGAUACCCCUGUAGUC
Molecule: ribosomal RNA, 460 nt
Filed under: uncultured bacterium
Lineage: Bacteria
Description: partial 16S ribosomal RNA
Rfam family: Bacterial small subunit ribosomal RNA
Source: RNAcentral